Molecule: long non-coding RNA, 466 nt
Organism: Rattus rattus (black rat)
Lineage: Eukaryota; Metazoa; Chordata; Mammalia; Rodentia; Muridae
Exons: 3
Source: RefSeq, a predicted model, not a curated record
UGAGCGAUUGCGAAGGACCAAGAAGAGCCUCAAGCUGUCACUUGCUGCCUGGAGUUCGUUCGGAAAGUUGAAAAAGCCUAAUUCUAAUUAGGAAAUCUAUCCAGCUGUGUAUUUACUUUUGUUUUUAGGGUCUGAAGCUCAGGAAGGCUUAAGGAAACAAGAUCACACAGCUGAUGAAGAUGUAGAACUCUCAGCUCCUCCUGCACCAUGCCUGCCUGGAUGCUGCCAUGUUCUCUUCUUGAUGAUAACGGAGUGAACCUCUGAAUAGGCACUAGGUGGUUGGAAAAGAUACCAACUUUUGUAGAAGGACCUUCGAAAGCUGUUCCAGUUAACAGAGAUGAAAGGAUGGAUCUAUUCAGCGUUGUGGAGGUCCUAACGGAUCGGUAGAUGGACUUCUGACAGCAGCAACAACAAUUAGGCCUUCUCCACAUCCUAAAUGAAUGUUGGACAUUGAAUGACACCACAA